Molecule: unclassified non-coding RNA, 650 nt
Filed under: Hevea brasiliensis (rubber tree)
Lineage: Eukaryota; Viridiplantae; Streptophyta; Magnoliopsida; Malpighiales; Euphorbiaceae
Source: RNAcentral
CCUUCCUACAUCACUGAAGCAGCUCGUCAACGCUUCGCACUAGGUUUACUUGAACCAAGCCUACAGGCCUUAAGACUUGGUGGGAAUCCAUUGAGAAGGCUGAUCGUAUGUGGAUGUAUAAUAGACUUGUGCCAAGUCGGAAAGGGGUCAUUACUGAGUUCAUUAAUGGUGUGCGUGGAUUUAUAGAGUUUGCACUAACGCAACACAACUUUGUUUCUAAUGGGAGUAUAAAAGUGCCCAUGUUCAAGAUGUGAAAAUAGUGGGUUUCUCACAACAGAUAUUAUUACUGCGCAUUUAUACAAGUUUGGGUUCAUGCCUAACUAUUAUCAUUGGGUUUCACAUGGGGAGCCUUUUAUACCAAUUUUGAGGCCAGAAUCUGGUGUGCAUGAAGGCACUGAAAGAGUAGCUGAUAAUACACCAGUAAAUCCAUACCGCACUAUGGUAUUUGAAGCUGUUGGUCCUUAUUUCAACUUUGAUUGUGAUGGAUUUGAUAUGGAUGAUGAAGAAGAACCUCCAAAUCGAAAUGCUCAAGACUUUUUUGAGAUGUUAAGAGCUGCAGAAGAGCCAUUGUUGUAACACCCUUCACCCGACUACAAUGUAGCCGAGCAAGGCGUGCUACAUUCGGUGCUGGAGCACCCUAUCUUAUCUUG